CUGAAGUCAGUGAAGUUGCUUGCUUUCCUAAACCAGAGUGUCUGGAUUCUGAACAACAGUUUGAAAUAGAAGUUUAACCAAAUAUUUACUAAUAUUUGCCUGAAGCACGUACUGAAUUUGGAUUUACAACUUAAGAAAUUAACUCCCUCAGUCAUGAAAGAAAAAUAAGACAACAACCAAACAGAAUUGCAACUGAAUGCUGGAUGACAGCAAAUCAUUUCUCACUUCUCUAACUGCUUUCUACCAGAUUCUUAUGAGUUACUUAUUUGCAUUUAUUUGGAGAUAGGUUGCUCCUUCUUUGCACUUUUGUCCCAGUGAGUCAGAAUGAGUCAGAACACAAGGACAAGAGAGGAACAUGAAGCUUCUCUGCAUAGGGUUUGAAGUGGAUGAGAGUUAUACGCCACCUACUCCUUUGUGGACACCUUACUGAGACAUCACAGAGAUGCUGCUCUCCCUGUCUGGAACAGCAUGGAAGUGAAUUUAAUCCUCACCAAAUGAUAAGGUUUCUUGAAGAAAGCUCUGAUGAGAUGUGGACUUACAGAAAGCCACUAGGAAGACUGUCACAUUGACCUGAAAGCUAUCAUCUCCCUCAUGUCGUGUGCUGCUGGCUCAGACAAGGACAGCAGACCUUCACUUCUUGUGGUGACUGCCCAUCCUCCUAUGUCCUCGGGUGUUCUGACACACCUAUUCAGGAGCUGACCAGACUGAAAGUGCUCCAGCAAGCAUUCAUCUUAUCAAGAGACAUCAGAAGCACAGAAAUUUCCUGGGUAAUUCCAGGAAAUUCAUGUACUCAUCAGUGUUUUGUUUCCCCACCCUUUCCAAAGAUUUCAGUCAUAUUUCAACAUGUAAAUACAAAUAAAUAUUUACAUAGAAAUAUAAAUUCCUCUUAG
RNAcentral lists this long non-coding RNA (890 nucleotides) under Coturnix japonica (Japanese quail). Its description in RNAcentral is "lncRNA (ENSCJPG00005008358.1)". The record is from RNAcentral. Lineage: Eukaryota; Metazoa; Chordata; Aves; Galliformes; Phasianidae.